GAUGAACGCUGGCGGCGUGCCUAAUACAUGCAAGUCGAGCGAACGGACGAGAAGCUUGCUUCUCUGAUGUUAGCGGCUGACGGGUGAGUAACACGUGGAUAACCUACCUAUAAGACUUGGAUAACUUCGGGAAACCGGAUCUAAUACCGCAUAAUAUUUUGAACCGCAUGAUUCAAAAGUUAAAGACGGUCUGGCCGUCACUUAUAGACGGAUCCGCGCUGCAUUGUCUACUUGGUAAGGGAACGGCUUAACAAGGCAACGAUGCGGAACCGACCUGAGAGGGGGAUCAGCCCCACUGGAACUGAGGCACGGCCCCAACCCCUACGGGGAGCAACAGUUGGGGAUUUUCGACAAUGGGCGGAAACCUGAACCAGGCAAACCGGGGGGGUGAAGGAAGGUUUUGGGUUUUAAAACCCUUUUUUUUAGGAAAAAAAAUAUGAGGAUAAAACCGCGCUCAUCUGACGGUGCCCAAACAAUAAGCACCGGCUAACUUCGUG
Molecule: ribosomal RNA, 497 nt
Filed under: uncultured bacterium
Lineage: Bacteria
Description: partial 16S ribosomal RNA
Rfam family: Bacterial small subunit ribosomal RNA
Source: RNAcentral